CACCAAGUCUGAUGAUCUUGC
Molecule: unclassified non-coding RNA, 21 nt
Filed under: Dictyostelium discoideum
Lineage: Eukaryota; Evosea; Eumycetozoa; Dictyosteliales; Dictyosteliaceae
Source: RNAcentral